AAUUUUUUUAUCACGAUGAUAAAAAAAUUGCCGGGAUAGCUCAGU
This 45-nucleotide transfer RNA is filed under the name Riccardia sp. CR-2017. Its description in RNAcentral is "partial tRNA-Phe". Lineage: Eukaryota; Viridiplantae; Streptophyta; Jungermanniopsida; Metzgeriales; Aneuraceae. The record is from RNAcentral.